ACGGAAGGCAGCAGUAGGGAAUAUUGCACAAUGGGGGAAACCCUGAUGCAGCAACGCCACGUGUGGGAAGAAGCAUUUCGGUGUGUAAACCACUGUCGUGAAGGGAUAAGGCUUAUUUUCGGAUAAGUUGAAUGUACUUUGAAAGGAAGCACCGGCAAACUUCGUGCCAGCAGCCGCGGUAAUACGAGGGGUGCAAGCGUUGUUCGGAAUCACUGGGCGUAAAGGGAGCGCAGGCGGAGAUGCAAGCAGUCUGUACAAUACCGGGCCCAACCCCGGACCUGCAGACUGGACUGUUUCUCUUGGAUAGCUCAGGGGCUGGCGGAAUUCCUGGUGUAGCGGUGGAAUGCGUAGAGAUCAGGAAGAACACCGAUGGCGAAGGCAGCCAGCUGGGGGCUUAUCGACGCUCAUGCUCGAAAGUGCGGGUAGCAAACAGGAUUAGAUACCCUGGUA
This 450-nucleotide ribosomal RNA is filed under the name uncultured Fibrobacter sp. RNAcentral describes it as "partial 16S ribosomal RNA". It matches the Rfam family "Bacterial small subunit ribosomal RNA", at positions 341 to 792 of the family's 1533-position model. The record is from RNAcentral. Lineage: Bacteria; Pseudomonadati; Fibrobacterota; Fibrobacteria; Fibrobacterales; Fibrobacteraceae.